Molecule: long non-coding RNA, 865 nt
Filed under: Marmota monax (woodchuck)
Lineage: Eukaryota; Metazoa; Chordata; Mammalia; Rodentia; Sciuridae
Source: RNAcentral
CUUUAACAAUGUUCCUCUCCAGCAGUUUACUCUGACUUGCACUUAAUAACUGAGGAAUGAGUGAAUGAACCCCCCCCCCCCGCCAAAACACACACACACUCCUUGGGGGCAGCCCUGUGGAAUUCAUGGGCCGCAUUGGAAACGUGGAGGAACAUCAGUCGCCUUUCCAAUUUAGCUGCUACUCCCUCGAGGAGCAGCUCCUGGGUGCUGGUGUGGAUCGCGGGUGGGACCAAGAUCUCUGCGAAGCCCCUGUAUUUCUCUUGCUUCUAGCAAAGAAUGGAGAACUGGGAGUCCCUGCUGCGCACCUCUCCGUACAGAGGGAGUGGAUGCCAUCGCUGGAGAGUUCAGGAGGCAGACGCCAUACUUGACCCCCGGACAGCCGGUGAACCCACGGGUCUUCUCGUGCAGGAUCUGGGAGCAGCAGAUACCGGAUCCUCCUGGGGCCUCUCCCGCGACUUCUAGGACCACGGACUCUAGGCGGAAAUUCCUCCCGCCCUUCCUCCUCACUCCCAUUUGUCCAAUGUGGGCUGAAGACGGAGGCUCGGUUCAUUUGGCGGCCAGUGUCCGCAGGGUUCCUGGUUGCCAAUCUGGAUGAAAGCGUUCAGGUUGGAGUGGGGGGUGCCCAGCUUCGGGAUUGCUUUGGCUGCAAGUACGGAAGGAAGGAGCUGGAGGCAAGAGCUCUGAAGCUCAGCCAAGAUACGUCUUCUGACUCCAGCCAACCCACUGUCAGGACGCUUAAUGACGUUUUUGGCCGGAUAAUCGAGCUCUUUGGACGGACAGUCAUGGUGGCCAUCUCCAAUAAAUCGUGAAUAACGAAUAAGCCAAUAGACCGUUCUCUAAUGAGGCCCACGGUCGUGGCCAUAAC